This 445-nucleotide ribosomal RNA is filed under the name uncultured bacterium. Its description in RNAcentral is "partial 16S ribosomal RNA". It matches the Rfam family "Bacterial small subunit ribosomal RNA", at positions 354 to 796 of the family's 1533-position model. The record is from RNAcentral.
GUGAGGAAUAUUGGUCAAUGGGCGGGAGCCUGAACCAGCCAAGUCGCGUGAAGGAAGAAGGAUCUAUGGUUCGUAAACUUCUUUUGCAGGGGAAUAAAGUGCAGGACGUGUCCUGUUUUGUAUGUACCCUGAGAAUAAGGAUCGGCUAACUCCGUGCCAGCAGCCGCGGUAAUACGGAGGAUCCGAGCGUUAUCCGGAUUUAUUGGGUUUAAAGGGUGCGUAGGUGGUUUGAUAAGUCAGCGGUGAAAGUUUGCAGCUUAACUGUAAAAAUGCUGUUGAAACUGUCGGACUUGAGUGUAAAUGAGGUAGGCGGAAUGCGUGGUGUAGCGGUGAAAUGCAUAGAUAUCACGCAGAACUCCGAUUGCGAAGGCAGCUUACUAAGCUACAACUGACACUGAAGCACGAAAGCGUGGGGAUCAAACAGGAUUAGAAACCCCGGUAGUCC